This 1151-nucleotide ribosomal RNA is filed under the name uncultured Flavobacteriaceae bacterium. Its description in RNAcentral is "bacterial SSU rRNA". It matches the Rfam family "Bacterial small subunit ribosomal RNA", at positions 372 to 1533 of the family's 1533-position model. Lineage: Bacteria; Pseudomonadati; Bacteroidota; Flavobacteriia; Flavobacteriales; Flavobacteriaceae. The record is from RNAcentral.
UGGGCGGGAGCCUGAUCCAGCCAUGCCGCGUGCAGGAUGACGGCCCUAUGGGUUGUAAACUGCUUUUAUACGGGAAGAAAUGCGCCCACGUGUGGGCGUCUGACGGUACCGUAAGAAUAAGGACCGGCUAACUCCGUGCCAGCAGCCGCGGUAAUACGGAGGGUCCGAGCGUUAUCCGGAAUCAUUGGGUUUAAAGGGUCCGUAGGCGGGCCUGUAAGUCAGGGGUGAAAGUUUGUGGCUCAACCAUAAAAUUGCCUUUGAUACUGCAGGUCUUGAGUCAUGGUGGGGUCGCCGGAACAUGUGGUGUAGCGGUGAAAUGCAUAGAUAUCACAUAGAACACCGAUCGCGAAGGCAGGUGGCCAACCAUGUACUGACGCUGAUGGACGAAAGCGUGGGUAGCGAACGGGAUUAGAUACCCCGGUAGUCCACGCCGUAAACGAUGGAUACUAGCUGUGGGGACUUCGGUCUCCGUGGCCAAGCGAAAGUGAUAAGUAUCCCACCUGGGGAGUACGUUCGCAAGAAUGAAACUCAAAGGAAUUGACGGGGGCCCGCACAAGCGGUGGAGCAUGUGGUUUAAUUCGAUGAUACGCGAGGAACCUUACCAGGGCUUAAAUGCAGGCUGCAUGGGGUAGAGAUACCCCUUUCUUCGGACCGCCUGCAAGGUGCUGCAUGGUUGUCGUCAGCUCGUGCCGUGAGGUGUCAGGUUAAGUCCUAUAACGAGCGCAACCCCUACCGUUAGUUGCCAGCAUGUCAAGAUGGGGACUCUAACGGGACUGCCGGUGCAAACCGUGAGGAAGGUGGGGACGACGUCAAAUCAUCACGGCCCUUACGUCCUGGGCUACACACGUGCUACAAUGGCCGGUACAGAGGGAAGCCACCCCGCAAGGGGGCGCGGAUCUACAAAACCGGUCACAGUUCGGAUCGGGGUCUGCAACUCGACCCCGUGAAGCUGGAAUCGCUAGUAAUCGGAUAUCAGCCAUGAUCCGGUGAAUACGUUCCCGGGCCCUGUACACACCGCCCGUCAAGCCAUGGAAGCCGGGAGUGCCUGAAGUCCGUCACCGCAAGGAGCGGCCUAGGGCAAAAUCGGUAACUAGGGCUAAGUCGUAACAAGGUAGCCGUACCGGAAGGUGCGGCUGGAACACCUCCUUUCU